AGUGAACGCUGGCGGUAGGCCUAACACAUGCAAGUCGAACGGCAGCACAGUAAGAGCUUGCUCUUACGGGUGGCGAGUGGCGGACAAGUGAGGAAUACAUCGGAAUCUACUUUUUCGUGGGGGAUAACGUAGGGAAACUUACGCUAAUACCGCAUACGACCUACGGGUGAAAGCAGGGGAUCUUCGGACCUUGCGCGAUUGAAUGAGCCGAUGUCGGAUUAGCUAGUUGGCGGGGUAAAGGCCCACCAAGGCGACGAUCCGUAGCUGGUCUGAGAGGAUGAUCAGCCACACUGGAACUGAGACACGGUCCAGACUCCUACGGGAGGCAGCAGUGGGGAAUAUUGGACAAAGGGCGAAAGCCUGAUCCAGCCAUACCGCGUGGGUGAAGAAGGCCUUCGGGUUGUAAAGCCCUUUUGUUGGGAAAGAAAAGCAGCAGGUUAAUACCCCGCUGUUCUGACGGUACCCAAAGAAUAAGCACCGGCUAACUUCGUG
Molecule: ribosomal RNA, 492 nt
Filed under: uncultured bacterium
Lineage: Bacteria
Description: partial 16S ribosomal RNA
Rfam family: Bacterial small subunit ribosomal RNA
Source: RNAcentral